UAAAAACCCCGACUUCGGAAGGGGUGUAUUUAUUAGAUACAAAACCAAUGCCCUUCGGGGCUCUUUGGUGAUUCAUGAUAACUAUACGAAUCGCACGGCCUUGCGCCGGCGAUGGUUCAUUCAAAUUUCUUCCCUAUCAACUUUCGAUGUUUGGGUAUUGGCCAAACAUGGUUGCAACGGGUAACGGAGGGUUAGGGCUCGACCCCGGAGAAGGAGCCUGAGAAACGGCUACUACAUCCAAGGAAGGCAGCAGGCGCGCAAAUUACCCAAUCCCGACUCGGGGAGGUAGUGACAAUAAAUACUGAUACAGGGCCCUUUCGGGCCUUGUAAUUGGAAUGAGUACAAUUUAAAUCCCUUAACGAGGAACAAUUGGAGGGCAAGUCUGGUGCCAGCAGCCGCGGUAAUUCCAGCUCCAAUAGCGUAUAUUAAAGUUGUUGUGGUUAAAAAGCUCGUAGUUGAACCUUGGGCCUGGCUGGCCGGUCCGCCUCACCGCGUGCACUGGUCCGGCCGGGCCUUUCCCUCUGUGGAACCCCAUACCCUUCACUGGGCGCGGCGGGGAAACAGGACAUUUACUUU
This 576-nucleotide ribosomal RNA is filed under the name uncultured eukaryote. Its description in RNAcentral is "SSU rRNA". It matches the Rfam family "Eukaryotic small subunit ribosomal RNA", at positions 174 to 758 of the family's 1831-position model. The record is from RNAcentral.